RNAcentral lists this ribosomal RNA (552 nucleotides) under uncultured archaeon. RNAcentral describes it as "bacterial SSU rRNA". It matches the Rfam family "Archaeal small subunit ribosomal RNA", at positions 876 to 1429 of the family's 1478-position model. The record is from RNAcentral.
GCACCACAAGGCGUGAAGCUUGCGGUUCAAUUGGAGUCAACGCCGGGAACCUUACCGGGGGCGACAGCAGGAUGAAGGCCAGGUUGAUGGUCUUGCUGGACGAGCUGAGAGGAGGCGCAUGGCCGUCGUCAGUUCGUGCCGUGAGGUGUCCUCUUAAGUGAGGUAACGAUCGAGACCCGCGCCCCUUGUUGCUAACAGACUCCAUCGGGGUCUGUGCACACUAGGGGGACCGCCGUCGAUAAGACGGAGGAAGGAGCGGGCCACGGCAGGUCAGUAUGCCCCGAAUCCCCCGGGCCACACGCGAGCUGCAAUGGCAGGGACAAUGGGUGUCGACUCCGAAAGGAGGAGGUAAUCUCUAAACCCUGCCUCAGUUGGGAUCGAGGGCUGAAACCCGUCCUCGUGAAUAUGGAAUGCCUAGUAAUCGCGCGUCAUCAUCGCGCGGUGAAUACGUCCCCGCUCCUUGCACACACCGCCCGUCGUUCCAUCCGAGUGGGGUUUGGGUGAGGCGUAGUCCUUGGUGGCUGCGUCGAACUAUUUUCCGCAAGGAGGGAA